AGACCAUUCACUUUGAGGAAAGACAGCUGCUGCCAUGUCAUGAGGACACUCAGCCAGUCCAUGGCAAGAUCCACAUGAUCCCCAGUACUGAGUUCUUUUGUUGAUCAUCCUGCUUGCAUUGAAGUACUUGGUCCUCUCCUCAGUUGAUGACUAACCUCCUGUUUCCUGCAGGUGCUGUUUCCAACUCUUCACGGCCUGAAUGUCAGUUUAUAUUUUCUUCAACAGGAGACUCA
This is a long non-coding RNA of Aethalodelphis obliquidens (Pacific white-sided dolphin), 233 nucleotides long. RefSeq lists it as uncharacterized. The transcript has 3 exons. Lineage: Eukaryota; Metazoa; Chordata; Mammalia; Artiodactyla; Delphinidae. The record is from RefSeq and is a predicted model, not a curated record.